CCUCAACUUCUAGAUUAUUAUUAUUAAUAAACAAUUGCCAACGCCUCAUAGACAAAAUGAUGAAUCAUCUCCCUCAAAUCUUUUCUUCUCUUAACGGUUCAAAGCUUAUGGAUUACGAGUUAAAUCAGCUAUACUGUUAAAUAUCCCAAUUGGAAACACACGACCUGGAAGAGGAAGAGAAUGGAUAAAACAUAAACGCCAAAUAUUUAUGAAAUUAAUCCAUGUCUGGUAUAGCUGUGUAAUUUCAUGGCAGGGGAGAAUUGUGGAUCCUUCAAAUGAGGCCUCUUUUCGUUAGUUUGAGGGGAAUUACACAUCCUUUUCUGAGAGGAAUGUCAAUCCAACUGCUAUGGAAAGGAUUACUUGACGAAACAUUUCUUGCGGCAGCAGAGGAAGUUGUUUGAGUGCCCACAUGGAGACCAACAUAUUGUGUGUGAAAUAUGUGGAACCAAGGGGCAUCAUCACACAGAUAAAUGGGUCUACUUUGGAUAGAAUGAAAUGUGAGUUCCAAGACUA
Molecule: long non-coding RNA, 513 nt
Organism: Solanum pennellii
Lineage: Eukaryota; Viridiplantae; Streptophyta; Magnoliopsida; Solanales; Solanaceae
Exons: 3
Source: RefSeq, a predicted model, not a curated record